UGCUCCCUCACACCCCCUGGUGUGUUGGGAAAGCCUUUGCGGCAUGUGAUGGGGUCACGUCCUAUCACCUUGAUGGCGGGGUAACAGCCCACCAUGGCUUCUACAGGUAGCCGGCCUGAGAGGGCGACCGGCCACAUUGGGACUGAGAUACGGCCCACACUCCUACAGGAGGCACCACUGGGGAAUAUUGCACAAUGGGCGCACGCCUGAUACACCGACACCCCGUGAGGGAUGGAGGCCUUCUGGUUGUAAACCUCUUUUGUUAUGGAGCAAGGCAUUUUUGUGUUGAGUGUACCUUUCGAAUAAUCACCGGCUAACUACCUGCCAACAUCCCCGGUAAUACGUAGGGUGCAAGCGUUAUCCCGAAUUAUUGGGCGUAAAGGGCUCGUAGGCGGUUCGUCGCGUCCUGUGUGAAAGUCCAUCGCUUAACGGUGGAUCCGCGCCUGGUACCGGCGGGCUUGAGUGCGGUAGGGGAGACUGGAAUUCCCGGUGUAACGGUGGAAUGUGUAGAUAUCGGGAAGAACACCAAUGGCGAAGGCAGGUCUCUGGGCCGUUACUGACGCUGAGGAGCGAAAGCGUGGGGAGCGAACAGGAUUAGAUACCCUGGUAGUCCACGCCGUAAACGGUGGAUGCUGGAUGUGGGGCCCGUUCCACGGGUUCCGUGUCGGAGCUAACGCGUUAAGCAUCCCGCCUGGGGAGUACGGCCGCAAGGCUAAAACUCAAAGAAAUUGACGGGGGCCCGCACAAGCGGCGGAGCAUGCGGAUUAAUUCGAUGCAACGCGAAGAACCUUACCUGGGCUUGACAUGUUCCCGACGACCGUAGAGAUACGGUUUCCCUUCGGGGCGGGUUCACAGGUGGUGCAUGGUCGUCGUCAGCUCGUGUCGUGAGAUGUUGGGUUAAGUCCCGCAACGAGCGCAACCCUCGCCCCGUGUUGCCAGCGGAUUAUGCCGGGAACUCACGGGGGACCGCCGGGGUUAACUCGGAGGAAGGUGGGAAUGACGUCAGAUCAUCAUGCCCCUUAUGUCCAGGGCUUCACGCAUGCUACAAUGGCCGGUACAACGGGAUGCGACAGUGCGAGCUGGAGCGGAUCCCUGAAAACCGGUCUCAGUUCGGAUCGCAGUCUGCAACUCGACUGCGUGAAGGCGGAGUCGCUAGUAAUCGCGAAUCAGCAACGU
This 1176-nucleotide ribosomal RNA is filed under the name uncultured Bifidobacterium sp. Its description in RNAcentral is "bacterial SSU rRNA". It matches the Rfam family "Bacterial small subunit ribosomal RNA", at positions 173 to 1357 of the family's 1533-position model. Lineage: Bacteria; Bacillati; Actinomycetota; Actinomycetes; Bifidobacteriales; Bifidobacteriaceae. The record is from RNAcentral.